CUGGGAUUCCUUUAUGAGGUGCAACCAAAACAGCUGUUUGACAUAGCAACAGGGAUAUUCUGUCAAGGUGUCUCUCUAGCAUUUGUUCUUAAUACCGUUGUGGUUUUGAUCACUAAAAUGGCUGUGACUUUUGGACUCUCGUUGAGGUAAUUCUUAUGGGCAUCCUGCCUACACUGGACCUGAACCAAUUGGAUCCUAUGCCCAAGCAAGUGUGGUGCGUAGUCCAAAUGCUAAAGCUUCUGGCCCCAAUGCCACGUCAGCAGAAGCUACUGGCCCCAAUGCCACGUCAGCAGAAGCUACUGGCCCCAAUGCCACGUCAGCAGAAGCUACUGGCCCCAAUGCCACGUCAGCAGAAGUUACUGGCCCCAAUGCCACGUCAGCAGUUACUGGCCCCAAUGCCACGUCAGCAGAAGCUACUGGCCACAAUGCCCCGUCAAGUGUGAAGUCUGGCCCCGGCGCCUCGGCAGACGCGUCCGGCCCCGGCGCCUCAGCAAUAGCGUCCGGCCCCGGCGCCUCAGCAAUAGCGUCCGGCCCCGGCGCCUCAGCAGAAGCGUCCGGCCCCGGCGCCUCAGCAGAAGCGUCCGGCCCAGGCGCCUCAGCAGAAGCGUCCGGCCCCGGCGCCUCAGCAGAAGCGUCCGGCCCCGGCGCCUCAGCAGAAGCGUCCGGCCCCGGCGCCUCAGCAGAAGCGUCCGGCCCCGGCGCCUCAGCAGAAGCGUCCGGCGCCUCAGCAGAAGCGUCCGGCGCCUCAGCAAUAGCGUCCGGCCCCGGCGCCUCAGCAGAAGCGUCAAGCCUUUAACAGACCGCCCGACCACUCAACUAGGGAGAUCAUAAUUUGGUUUGCAUAACUCCUUAAUUGUCGUUCCCCUGUUACUGUGCCUCCCUUUAGAAGAAAAGGUAACUGAGGUGGGGAAAUGUGCCAACUAAUGCUCUUGUUUGAAAUGAGGAUCUCCUUCACUUGUCCAGCGUCAUGCAAAUUGUUUACAGGGGUGGACGCUACAAUGGACUAAAAUUGACUUCUGACUUGCCAAUAUUGCUGACACACUUUGGUUCUAUGGUUAUGCUUUUGAUUUAGCCUGGUGUUCCUGCUACUCUUCCAUGAUCUGCUCAAUAAACAAUUUGACUUUCAAUAUACCUUGUCCUUAAAAUAUAAUAUUCUCUUCUGC
This 1163-nucleotide long non-coding RNA is filed under the name Salmo salar (Atlantic salmon). Its description in RNAcentral is "lncRNA (ENSSSAG00000105261.1)". Lineage: Eukaryota; Metazoa; Chordata; Actinopteri; Salmoniformes; Salmonidae. The record is from RNAcentral.